RNAcentral lists this ribosomal RNA (468 nucleotides) under rape rhizosphere bacterium m9060. Its description in RNAcentral is "bacterial SSU rRNA". It matches the Rfam family "Bacterial small subunit ribosomal RNA", at positions 42 to 505 of the family's 1533-position model. The record is from RNAcentral.
GCAUGCCUUACACAUGCAAGUCGAACGGCAGCGCGGGAGCAAUCCUGGCGGCGAGUGGCGAACGGGUGAGUAAUACAUCGGAACGUGCCCAAUCGUGGGGGAUAACGCAGCGAAAGCUGUGCUAAUACCGCAUACGAUCUACGGAUGAAAGCAGGGGAUCGCAAGACCUUGCGCGAAUGGAGCGGCCGAUGGCAGAUUAGGUAGUUGGUGAGGUAAAGGCUCACCAAGCCUUCGAUCUGUAGCUGGUCUGAGAGGACGACCAGCCACACUGGGACUGAGACACGGCCCAGACUCCUACGGGAGGCAGCAGUGGGGAAUUUUGGACAAUGGGCGAAAGCCUGAUCCAGCCAUGCCGCGUGCAGGAUGAAGGCCUUCGGGUUGUAAACUGCUUUUGUACGGAACGAAACGGUCUUUUCUAAUACAGAAGGCUAAUGACGGUACCGUAAGAAUAAGCACCGGCUAACUACG